This 250-nucleotide ribosomal RNA is filed under the name uncultured bacterium. Its description in RNAcentral is "partial 16S ribosomal RNA". It matches the Rfam family "Bacterial small subunit ribosomal RNA", at positions 524 to 773 of the family's 1533-position model. The record is from RNAcentral.
CACGUAGGAGACAAGCGUUAUCCGGAUUUACUGGGUGUAAAGCGCGUGCAGGCGGUCGGGUAAGUUGGAUGUGAAAGCUCCUGGCUUAACUGGGAGAGGUCGUUCAAUACUGUCCGGCUCGAGGAUGGCAGAGGGGAGUGGAAUUCCGAGUGUAGCGGUAAAAUGCAUAGAUAUUCGGAAGAACACCAGUGGCGAAGGCGGCUCUCUGGGCCAUUUCUGACGCUCAGACGCGAAAGCUAGGGUAGCAAAC